Molecule: ribosomal RNA, 253 nt
Filed under: uncultured bacterium
Lineage: Bacteria
Description: partial 16S ribosomal RNA
Rfam family: Bacterial small subunit ribosomal RNA
Source: RNAcentral
UACGUAGGGGGCAAGCGUUGUCCGGAAUCAUUGGGCGUAAAGAGCGUGUAGGCGGCCCGGUAAGUCCGCUGUGAAAGUCCAGGGCUCAACCCUGGGAUGCCGGUGGAUACUGUCGGGCUCGAGUCCGGAAGAGGAGUGUGGAAUUCCUGGUGUAGCGGUGAAAUGCGCAGAUAUCGGGAAGAACACCUAUGGCGAAGGCAGCUCUCUGGGACGGUACUGACGCUGAGACGCGAAAGCGUGGGGAGCAAACAGG